CUUAGAGAGCUUGCUUUUUAAGCUUAGUGGCGAACGGGUGAGUAACGCGUGAGUAACCUGCCCUAGAGUGGGGGACAACAGUUGGAAACGGCUGCUAAUACCGCAUAAGCGCACAGCAUCGCAUGAUGCAGUGUGAAAAACUCCGGUGGUAUAAGAUGGACCCGCGUCUGAUUAGCUUGUUGGUGAGGUAACGGCCCACCAAGGCGACGAUCAGUAGCCGGCCUGAGAGGGUGAACGGCCACAUUGGGACUGAGACACGGCCCAAACUCC
Molecule: ribosomal RNA, 270 nt
Filed under: uncultured Eubacteriales bacterium
Lineage: Bacteria; Bacillati; Bacillota; Clostridia; Eubacteriales
Description: uncultured Clostridiales bacterium partial 16S ribosomal RNA
Rfam family: Bacterial small subunit ribosomal RNA
Source: RNAcentral